RNAcentral lists this unclassified non-coding RNA (391 nucleotides) under soil metagenome. Its description in RNAcentral is "partial contains 5.8S ribosomal RNA, internal transcribed spacer 2, and large subunit ribosomal RNA". The stretch from base 1 to 122 matches the Rfam family "5.8S ribosomal RNA", at positions 35 to 154 of the family's 154-position model. The record is from RNAcentral.
GAUGAAGAACGUAGCGAAAUGCGAUACUUGGUGUGAAUUGCAGAAUCCCGUGAACCAUCGAGUCUUUGAACGCAAGUUGCGCCCGAAGCCAUUAGGCCGAGGGCACGCCUGCCUGGGCGUCACACGUCGUUGCCCCCCCAUCUACUCCUUCGGGAUUGCGGGGGGCGGAUGAUGGCCUCCCGUGCGCCUCGUCGCGCGGUUGGCAUAAAUGCCAAGUCCUCGGCGACGCACGCCACGACAAUCGGUGGUUGCGAAACCUCGGUUGCCCGUCGUGGGCGGUCGUCGCGCAUCGAGGGCUCGAAAAAAUUGCCGGGCUCCGGCUCGGCUUUCAACGCGACCCCAGGUCAGGCGGGGUUACCCGCUGAAUUUAAGCAUAUCAAUAAGCGGAGGA